GUAGGUUUGAUUUGCUUCUCUAACAUCCGGUACUUUUGCAAAAAUCUUUGAACACAGAAAGCUAAACCAAAGCCCAGGAGGAGGCAAGUGUCCAAGAACAUAUGGAAGCCUAAGAGGGAUUCUUCACCCAUGGUUGCUUAGGUUUAUAAGCAAGGAAGCUGAAUGAAGUCCCUUUCCUCUCUGGAUGAGCCCCUGGGUUUCUGGAAGAGUCUUAAAAUCACCCCUAAAUGGCUUCCAAGCACUGAAGCCCGAGAUGUUAGCUGGCCUGUGUGAGGCCUUGAGACAGAAUGCCACAGCCACACCCCAAGGAUGCUGAAGGGGAUUUCCCUCCUCUGUGGUUUUUCUCCUUUCUUCCCGCAGCACUCCUCCUACGUGCUAACAUCUUCUAGUCAAACAACUCUCCUUUUCAAAGGGACCAGGCACAGUUUCUGCUUAUCCCUGAGUAGCAGUGUUCAGUUUCCUGCCAGCCUGUGGAGUUUUUCAAACAAGCCAAUCACCUCCUCCUGUGGGAACUGAGAAGCACCCCACCCUCUCGAUACUACAAAGCCCCUGCUUGUUCCCUAGUGCAACUCCCAUGUGGUCCUGUGGAGCAUAUGGUAUCUUCCUCUUCUGGGCAGUGAGCAUAUGUGACUAAUAAACUAUCUAUCUCAUCUGUUCAGUGCCAGGUGUCAUUUGUUCUGCCAUCCCAUGACCUAGGGUGGGGAUUCCUUCCACACCAACAGGGUGAAUGCAAGGUGAUUAAAACAAGAAGCCUCUUCAGGAUCUAUAUCCUAGGGAAAAAAUUAAACAACAACAACAAAACAAGAAGCUUCAACUCUGACCCUGUAUUCCAGAUGUGUUACAGGGGCCUGUCUCCCCAGAGCCACUCUCCAGGUCAGAGCUUACCUCCCCUUGCUCAGGGUUAGGAGCUCUGGGCAGGAAAAGGACAUCAUGUUAAAA
Molecule: long non-coding RNA, 939 nt
Filed under: Homo sapiens (human)
Lineage: Eukaryota; Metazoa; Chordata; Mammalia; Primates; Hominidae
Description: HSALNT0016852
Source: RNAcentral